GCGAGAAAAUGCCGCGCGGGUGAGGCAGCGCCGCGCUUAUUCCGGCGCAGCACGCGACACGCGGGCGCCGCCCCCGCGUCCGCCUCCACACCGGGCGCCCUCUCCACCGCCGCCCGCUGAAGUGGAGCCGUGGAGGUGGAGUGCUAGCCGAGUACUAGGGACUGGAGUCGUAGCAAAAUACAGGCGGACCGAGGCCUUGGGAGCCAUGAGCCUGCACGCCGCGCGCGGCGGGGCGCACGAGGAUCUGAGCUGGAGCGCCCUCGGGCGGCGGGCACCCGGUGACGUGAUGGUCGUCGAUCGAGGAGGGUGGGGAGGAGUGGGGACGAGGAGCAGGGCGCCGCAGGGAGGGCCGGCGGGGGAGGUGCGCGUGGACAAGGCGUCGUGCGCGUCCACCUUCCGCGAGCUCGACGACGCCUUCCUGCAGAAACAAACAAAAAUCUGGCUUGGAGAAGUUCUGCAUCGUAGGUUUGAUGAAGACGUUUUAGUUGCAGACCUUCUUGCUGAUGGGGAAUUACUGUACCAAAUUUCCAAAUUAAUAUGGAAAAGGUUACUUAAAAAGAACAGAGAACAAUUGAAGCAAUCAAAAGUGUAUAUUUAUGAGCGACCAUCUUUCGGCAGGAGCCAUGGAAAGUACAUGCCGUAUUUAAAAGUUGACUCUUUCCUAAAGAUAUGUCAAAUCCUUGGGUUAGCUGGAAUUGAUCUGUUUACCCCUUCUGAUGUUGUUGAAAAAAGAAAUGUUCGGAAAGUCUGUAUAUGCAUCCGAUCGGUAUCUAAAAAGUCUAACAUGAUGCGCCUAAAUGUGCCUGAUUUUGAUAUAGUGACCUACACAAUAUCCAUGCCCACCUAUAUUGUUGGAGGUAUACGUAGAAGUCUGGAACAGCCACAAUACAGUUCGUCCGGUUCAAGUGGAUACAGUCCACCUGACAGUUCCAAAGCAUUGCAGCAGCAGAUAAUAUUUGGUGGACAGAACGACAAGCAUGGGAACACAAAUUAUGAUUCUGAUGAAGCAGAAAGCAGACCGUCUGUUCUAGAACCUGAGGACUCAGUUGACGAAGACAACUUUGCAGCCGUGCUUUCGCCCCCUAAAGAAGAAAGUGAAGGCUAUGGAGAAAGUGGACAUGAUAUGCAUGAAGAAAAAUCUCUAGCUGAAUCAGUGGGAUCACUUGACUUUGGUGUUAUGGAUUCGGAGUCCGUGGAUUCAACUCCACAAAAUCAUGAUAAAGAAUAUUACUCUACUCAUUCUGCAACUGACCAAUGUUCAAGCUCUAGAACGGCCAGAUGUUCCUUAAGUUCAGAAGAGGCAGAUUCCAUAAGCAGUCAUUUGGCGUUUGAAAGUGGCAAGAAUGAUUCGGAGUUGAAUGCUCAUCCUGUCGCAGAUUCAGAAAGGAUUUAUGAUGGACAGGCCAAGUCUCUAGAUCAUUCUAUUCAGGGAAAUGGGGAAACAUUAGUGUAUCAUCCAAAAAAAGAGAGUGCUGACCUCCAAAAGGACACCCUUGCCUGUGAUAGGGAGUCAGUGUGUUCGAGUUGCGAGGAACUGAUGAGACAUGGGUUAAAUGGCGAGCCGUCAGACUUAAGCAAAUUGCCGAUGGUUUCUGAAGAUGCGGUGAAUAAUGUAGAGCCAAGCCUGACUGGGAUGACAAAUGAUUGCACGUGUGAAGAGCUGAAUCCUGAAUUCAGUGAUAGAUAUCAAAUGGAAGGUUCCCAACCUGGAGAUAAACCUGUGGACUCGGACGGUAUAGCUAAGCCUGCUCCUCAAAUGCCUGAAGAUGAUGCCCCCAAAUCAGGGAGAGGGGUGCUAAGGUCAGUUGCCGGAGGGAUUACCCUUGUCGGCGCAGUGUUCUUCAUGGCCCAUCUCAGGAGAAGCAAGGAGAGAAGCUUCACGCGAGUUAUGCCAUCGAUUCCAGUAAAAUCAAUUCAGAGUGACUCAAGGCCUAAGAACAUGGACAAAUAAAAGGCUCCUGCUGUGUAUCCCGGGGCACGGCUGAAGGUCUAAAAAGAUGGAUAUGGGACGCGCAUGCUGCUGCCUGGAAGCCAGAGCUUGAAGAAGGUCCAGCUUCCCGCUCAAGCUACCUGCCCGUCAUGCUCGGACGCGCCACCGCGGCAGACGAGAGGCGGCCGUCGCGCCGGCACCCUCAUCACUCUAUCCCUCCUACUACUCACCAAAGGUCGCGUGGCAUCAGCCCCGGCAGGUUCCUGGUUGCUGUCAACAUUACUGAUAGACUACUGGCAGGAUAUCUCAACUUCUCAAGGUAUGAUUAGAUAGGCACGCACGAGAAAUAAAGUUCGAAGUUGGCCUUAGGCAGCAGGCCUGUGGGAGCCCUGUGCUUAGUUAGUUCCUUUGUUUAUUUCGCUUUGGUCGAGUUUGAGUUCUACUUGUUUUUUUAAUCUCUCUUUGUAAGAACCCGUUUGCUUUCUCCUCUUAAAUGACAUAGCAGUGCUCCUGCAUUUUACUUUUUAAAAAA
RNA transcript from Panicum hallii, 2462 nucleotides. It is a transcript of the gene named protein OPAQUE10-like, with no coding region annotated. NCBI's taxonomy places the organism in Eukaryota, Viridiplantae, Streptophyta, Magnoliopsida, Poales, Poaceae. The record is from RefSeq and is a predicted model, not a curated record. The transcript is spliced from 9 exons.